RNAcentral lists this long non-coding RNA (1104 nucleotides) under Coturnix japonica (Japanese quail). RNAcentral's name for it is "lncRNA (ENSCJPG00005004952.1)". Lineage: Eukaryota; Metazoa; Chordata; Aves; Galliformes; Phasianidae. The record is from RNAcentral.
AUGGGGGGCGGCGGCGGGUCGGGGGCUCAGCGCCGCACCGGGGGCAUGGCCCCGGCCCCGCGGCCGCCGCCGCCUGCGAGCGGAGAAAAGCGCGGUUAUAACGGCGGCCCCGCGGCAGGCGCACCCGGCGCGGGUCCGAGCGGCGCUUCGGGACGGCCCCGAGUUCAUACGGAGACCCGGGGAGAGCGGGGCGCCAGCCCGGGCGGUGCCGAGGGGUCGGGGGAGCCGGGGGGGCACGCGGGGUCGCGCCCGGGGACGGUCUCGGGUUCAGGCGACGCCGCGCACGGGGAGACCUCGAGGAACGGGGCCGGGAGCGGCGCGGGGCAGCGCUCGGCGGCUCCCGAACACGCGAGUCGCGGCGCCCGGGGGCGGGGACGCGGUGCUUUCCCCGCUCCAUUAAAUUCGGAUAUCGGCAAAGAAAAAUCGCCUUCCCGCCCGCCCGGGUGCGGGGACGGGAAAACCGCGAGCGGCCGCGGCGCCGCUGUCACCUCGCGGCCGAGCCGGGGCACAGCGGUGCCGGCGGGGAGGGGGCGGCGGGGCAGAACGCGCCGAAUCCGUCCCGCUGUGGAGCUCCGAAACUUUCCCCGGAGCCAAACCAACUUCGUGGCGCCCGGCGCUCGCAGGUGUCCCGGGGCCGCGGGCGCAGGUGGGGAACCUCGGGAAGGGGACGCGAAAGGGACGGCGCGGUGCCGAACCCCCCCCCUCCCCGCCCCGCGCCCGCUGUCGAGGAACGCGCGGCCCCGCGGCGGGCGCUCGGGGUCGGCACUCACUCACCCGGGCUCGGCGGGACGGGGCCGCCCGCGGGCGGGGCGCGGCGCUCGCUCGGCUCCCGGCGGCGUCAGGGGCCCGGCGGCAUGGCGGGGCGCGGCGGGGCGGUGCGGGCGGUGCGGGCGCACGGCGGAGCGCGCUCCCUCCCGCAGCCGGACGGACACAGACAGAGAGGCGGGCGGCUACCGCCGCGUUAGGAGGAGGAGAAGAGGAGGAGGGAGAGGAGGAGGAGGAGGAGGAGGAGGAAGAGGAGGAGGAUCGCGCUCCGGGGGAAGCACCCCCCGCCCGCCCCCUUCCCCGGGAGCGGGCAGGAGCGAGCGCUCCGCGCGCCUUUGA